GGGCAGAGACGUUUCCAGUUCCUAAAAUUGGAAUGAUACAAAGAAGAUUAGCAUGCCCCUGUGGAAGGAUGACAUACAAAUUUGUGAAGCGUUUAUAUAUAUA
This 103-nucleotide small nuclear RNA is filed under the name Salvator merianae (Argentine black and white tegu). Lineage: Eukaryota; Metazoa; Chordata; Lepidosauria; Squamata; Teiidae. The record is from RNAcentral.